Molecule: ribosomal RNA, 1373 nt
Filed under: uncultured bacterium
Lineage: Bacteria
Description: bacterial SSU rRNA
Rfam family: Bacterial small subunit ribosomal RNA
Source: RNAcentral
GAUGAACGCUGGCGGCGUGCCUAAUACAUGCAAGUCGAGCGAACGGACGAGAAGCUUGCUUCUCUGAUGUUAGCGGCGGACGGGUGAGUAACACGUGGAUAACCUACCUAUAAGACUGGGAUAACUUCGGGAAACCGGAGCUAAUACCGGAUAAUAUUUUGAACCGCAUGGUUCAAAAGUGAAAGACGGUCUUGCUGUCACUUAUAGAUGGAUCCGCGCUGCAUUAGCUAGUUGGUAAGGUAACGGCUUACCAAGGCAACGAUGCAUAGCCGACCUGAGAGGGUGAUCGGCCACACUGGAACUGAGACACGGUCCAGACUCCUACGGGAGGCAGCAGUAGGGAAUCUUCCGCAAUGGGCGAAAGCCUGACGGAGCAACGCCGCGUGAGUGAUGAAGGUCUUCGGAUCGUAAAACUCUGUUAUUAGGGAAGAACAUAUGUGUAAGUAACUGUGCACAUCUUGACGGUACCUAAUCAGAAAGCCACGGCUAACUACGUGCCAGCAGCCGCGGUAAUACGUAGGUGGCAAGCGUUAUCCGGAAUUAUUGGGCGUAAAGCGCGCGUAGGCGGUUUUUUAAGUCUGAUGUGAAAGCCCACGGCUCAACCGUGGAGGGUCAUUGGAAACUGGAAAACUUGAGUGCAGAAGAGGAAAGUGGAAUUCCAUGUGUAGCGGUGAAAUGCGCAGAGAUAUGGAGGAACACCAGUGGCGAAGGCGACUUUCUGGUCUGUAACUGACGCUGAUGUGCGAAAGCGUGGGGAUCAAACAGGAUUAGAUACCCUGGUAGUCCACGCCGUAAACGAUGGGUGCUAAGUGUUAGGGGGUUUCCGCCCCUUAGUGCUGCAGCUAACGCAUUAAGCACUCCGCCUGGGGAGUACGACCGCAAGGUUGAAACUCAAAGGAAUUGACGGGGACCCGCACAAGCGGUGGAGCAUGUGGUUUAAUUCGAAGCAACGCGAAGAACCUUACCAAAUCUUGACAUCCUUUGACAACUCUAGAGAUAGAGCCUUCCCCUUCGGGGGGGCAAAGUGACAGGUGGUGCAUGGUUGUCGUCAGCUCGUGUCGUGAGAUGUUGGGUUAAGUCCCGCAACGAGCGCAACCCUUAAGCUUAGUUGCCAUCAUUAAGUUGGGCACUCUAAGUUGACUGCCGGUGACAAACCGGAGGAAGGUGGGGAUGACGUCAAAUCAUCAUGCCCCUUAUGAUUUGGGCUACACACGUGCUACAAUGGACAAUACAAAGGGCAGCGAAACCGCGAGGUCAAGCAAAUCCCAUAAAGUUGUUCUCAGUUCGGAUUGUAGUCUGCAACUCGACUACAUGAAGCUGGAAUCGCUAGUAAUCGUAGAUCAGCAUGCUACGGUGAAUACGUUCCCGGGUCU